This 423-nucleotide ribosomal RNA is filed under the name uncultured bacterium. Its description in RNAcentral is "bacterial SSU rRNA". It matches the Rfam family "Bacterial small subunit ribosomal RNA", at positions 355 to 775 of the family's 1533-position model. The record is from RNAcentral.
UGAGGAAUAUUGGUCAAUGGGCGCAAGCCUGAACCAGCCGUCCCGCGUGCAGGAAGACGGCCCUAUGGGUUGUAAACUGCUCUUCCAGGGGGAGAAUUUUUCUGUCGUGACAGGAAUUGACGGUACCCUGGGAAUAAGCAUCGGCUAACUCCGUGCCAGCAGCCGCGGUAAUACGGAGGAUGCGAGCGUUAUCCGGAUUUAUUGGGUUUAAAGGGUGCGUAGGCGGAUUGGUAAGUCAGUGGUGAAAACCUGCAGCUUAACUGUAGACUUGCCGUUGAUACUGUCAGUCUUGAGUGUGGUCAAGGUAGGCGGAAUGUGUGAUGUAGCGGUGAAAUGCUUAGAUAUUACACAGAACACCGAUUGCGAAGGCAGCUUACUGGGCCAUUACUGACGCUGAUGCACGAAAGCGUGGGGAUCGAACAG